This 5425-nucleotide long non-coding RNA is filed under the name Nicotiana benthamiana. RNAcentral's name for it is "long non-coding RNA (NBEN_LNC015057)". The record is from RNAcentral. Lineage: Eukaryota; Viridiplantae; Streptophyta; Magnoliopsida; Solanales; Solanaceae.
CUGCAUUUCAUAAGGCUACCAUAGUGCUUUCCGAGACUAAACAUUGUCUCCAUCUGCAUUUUUCUGAAUUACUUAAGGCUACCAUUGUGCCAUCCGAGACUAAACAUUGUCUCCAUCUACACCUGGAUGGCUGAAAGAUCGCCACUUCAUUUACAUUCUACGGCACUAAAAGAUCGCUGUUGUAUUUAAAUUAUGCAUCGGCUGAAAUAUCUCCACUUCAUUUAAAUCCUGCAUCGGUUGAAAGAUCGCCAUUUUAUUUACAGUUCUUGCAUGGCUAAAAUAUCGCCACUUCAUUUACAUCCUGCCUCGGCUGGAACAUCGCCAUUUUUAUUUGUGUCUUGCAUUGGCUGAAAUAUCGCCACUUCAUUUAAAUCAUACAUCAGCUGAAAGAUCGCCAUUUUAUUUUACAUUCCCAUGAAUGGCCUGAGUACAUCCAUUGUGGCUCACAAAUUGCCGAUCGAUCCGGCCAGUCCGCCAGUGAAGCAGAAGCUUAGAAAUUUCAAGCCAGAUAUGAGUCUAAAAAUCAAGGAAGAAGUUACUAAGUAGGUCAAAGCUAAGGUUCUGAGGGUGGUAGAGUAUCCGACAUGGUUAGCCAAUAUCGUGCCAGUAUCAAAGAAGGACGGGAAAGUUAGAGUCUGUGUCGACUAUCGGGACCUCAACUGGGCCAGUCCAAAAGACAACUUUCUCUUGUCGAACAUACACAUCUUAAUUAAUAACUAUGCCAAGCACGAGCUACAGUCGUUCAUUGAUUGUUUUGCUGGGUACCAUCAGAUAUGGAUGGAUGAAGAGAAUGCUGAGAAAAUAGCAUUCAUUAUGCUGUGGGGGAUGUAUUGCUACAAGAUGAUGCCAUUUGGAUUAAAGAACACAGGGGCCACCUACAUGAGGGCCAUGACUACAAUUUUUCAUGACCUGAUACACAAAGAGAUCAAAGUGUAUGUAGACGGCGUCAUCAUCAAAUCCAAGAAAGACGCUGAUCACAUGGAGGAUUUGAGGAAAUUCUUCAAUAAACUGAGAAGGUACAACCUGAAAUUGAAUCCCGCAAUAAUAUGCAUUCGGGGUUCUCGCUGGGAAAUUUCUUGGGUUCACUAUAAGUCACCGAGGGAUAGAAUUGAAUUCGUCAAAGGUCAAAGCUAUUCAAGAAUUUCGACCGCCAAAGAAUAAGAAGAAGGUGAUAACUUUAUUGGGGAGGCUUAACUACAUCAGCCGGUUCGUAGCACAAUCUAUUGUCAUCUGUGAGCCAAUUUUCAAGAUUCUAAUGAAGGACACUGCUACCAAAUAGACUGAUGACUACCAAAGGGCCUUCGACAGAAUCAAGGAGUACUUGUCAACACCGCCAGUUUUGGUUCUGCCCGAAAUAGGUAGACCCUUACUACUCUACCUUGCAAUAUUGGAUAAAGAGUUCGGUUGUAUUCUAGGGCGGCAUGAUGAAACAUGGAGAAAAGAGCAGGCCAUCGAUUAUCUUAGCAAGAAGUUCACCUCGUACGAGGCCCGAUAUUCGUUAUUGGAAUGCACUUGUUGUGCUUUGACUUAGGUAGCCCCGAAAUUGAGGCACUAUUCCUGUGCUUACACCACGUAUGUCAUAUAAAGAAUAGACCCAUUGAAGUACAUCUUCCAGAAGCCCAUACCUACCGGCAAGUUAGCCAAGUGGCAUAUGUUACUGAGUGAAUUCGGCAUUGUCUACGUGACUCAGAAAGCAAUAAAAGGAUAGGCACUAGCCGAUCACCUUGAUGAAAACCUUGUGGAUGGAGAAUACGAGCCCCUCAAGACAUAUUUUUCGGAUGAAGAGGUAUCAUUAGUAGGAGAAGACAUUGCAGAGUCCUAUGAUGGUUGGAGGAUGUUUUUUGAUGGAGCAACCAAUUUUAAAGGAGUUGGCAUAAGGGCAAUCAUGGUAUUAGAAACCGGCUAGCAUUAUCUCGUAUCUUCCAAGCUCAAGUUCCCAUGCACCAACAAUAUGGCCGAAUAUGAAGCUUGCAUCUUAGGGCUCAAGAUGGCCAUUGACAUAAACGUCCAAGAGUUGCAAGUGAUUGGGGAUUCUGAUUUUCUUAUACAUCAGGUCCCAGAGGAAUGGGCAACUAAGAACUCCAAGAUACUCCUAUAUUUGUAUCAAACUAGAUAGUGAUUGGAGAUUCAGAUUUGCUUAUACAUCAGGUCCGAGAAGAAUGGGCAACUAAAAAUUCCAAGAUACUCCGGUAUUUACAUCAUGUAUAGGAAUUGAGGAUGAGAUUCACAAAGACAGAAUUCCGGCAUGCUCCCAUAGUCCAGAAUGUGUUUGCCAAUGCAUUGGAAACUUUAUCAUCUAUGAUUCAGUAUCCAGAUAAGAACUUUAUAGACCCUAUGCCGGUGGACAUUCACAAUGAGCCCGCUUAUUGUGCUCAUGUCGACGAAGAAGUGGACGGAACGCCUUGGUUUCAUGAUAUCAAGAAAUAUUUGACAAGGGGAGAAUACCAAGAACUUGCAAAUCCUGCUCAGAAGCGCACAUUCCGGAGGUUAUCUAACAACUUCUUUCACAUAGGAGGAAUCCUUUAUAGGAGAACUCUUGAUUUUGUAUUGCUAAGGUGUGUCGACACAAAGGAAGCAUCUAAACUGUUAGAAGAAAUCCAUGUUGGGUCCUGCGGUCCACAUAUGAACGGCUUUGUCUUAGCCAAGAAGCUACUCCGGGCAGGUUAUUUUUGGAGGACUAUGGAAACGGACUACAUCGAGUAUGUCUAAAAGUGCUAUCGCUGUCAGAUACAUGCAGACAUGAUAAAGGUACCUCUAAACAAGCUUCCUGCAACAAGGUCUCCAUGACCAUUUGCCGCAUGGGGAAUGGAUAUUAUCGGACCUAUCGAGCCUGCUGCAUCAAACGAGCACAGGUUCAUUCUAGUGGCAAUUGAUUAUUUCACCAAAUGGGUUGAAGCGGCAUCUUACAAAGUACUAAUAAAGAAAAUCGUGGUAGAUUUUGUCUGUGGCCGGAUUGUUUUUGCAUUCGGGGUUCCAAAAUCGAUCAUCACUGAUAAUGGUUCCAAUCUCAAUAGUGGUUUGAUCGACCUGAUUGUUUUUUGCUUCGGGGUUCCAAAAUCGAUCAUCACUGAUAAUGGUUCCAAUCUCAAUAGUGAUUUGAUGAAGGCCAUGUGUGAAAUUUUCAAGAUCAAACACAAGAAUUCUACAGCUUACAAGCCUCAAAUGAGCGGAGCUGUAGAAGCUUCCAAUAAGAAUAUCAAGAAGAUACUUAGGAAAAUGAUAAGAGAAACAUAAGUAGUGGCACGAGAAACUAUCAUUUGCUUUAAUGGGGUACCGCACCACAGUCCGCACAUCAACUAGUGCAACUCCCUAUAUGUUGGUUUAUAGAGUAGAAGCGUCCUUUCCUACUAAGGUAGAAAUUCCCUCCCUAAGGAUCAUACAGGAAGCAGAAAUCGACGAUGCAGAAUGGGUAAUAAGUCACUACGAGCAACUAGAUCUCACAGAUUGUAGAAGAACGAAUGCAGUAUGCCAUGGUCAGCUUUAUCAGAAUAGAAUGACCAGAGCAUUCAACAAGAGAGUCAAGCCAAGAUGGUUCACACCAGGGCAGCUAGUGCUAAAGAAGAUUUUUCCGAAUCAAGAUGUAGGCAAAGGGAAAUUCUCUCCCAAUUGGCAGGGUGCAUACAUGGUUCAUCGAGUUUUGACAGGAGGAGCCCUCAUUCUUGCAGAGAUGGACGGACAAGUUUGGCCGAAACCAAUCAAUUCAGAUGCAGUGAAGCGAUACCACGUGUAACCUUUAUGCUUUCUUACGUGAUGUAUUUUAAAUUAAGUCAGACCUAAUUACCGUUUAUGAGGGGAUAUGUAGGCAGCCCUAUGGGUUUAGUCACAAUUCAAUAAAAUUUCAUCCCUCUUGUAAUUGGAAACUGGGGCAGAAUUUUGAGGAGGACCUCAAAAUUCCAAAGUAAUUUCAGCGAAUCAUCGCAGGCAGCCGUCAGAAGUAUCAACUCAGUAAACUGGGGAAGAAUUUUAUGGAGGACACUCAAAAUUCUGGAGCAAGAGAGGUUGCAAUGUCUCGAACCGCGUCAUUGUCAUUGAUUCAUCUAAAGAAAUCUAUUUUUUAUUAUGUAUUGUUGUUAGGUUUUUACUAAAUCAUGUAUGUCUAUUAUCAAGAUUGUUUUGUUUAGCGACACAACCUCGAUGGUACAUAACAUCACUGAAAACAGAACCAAGUAGAAUAGGAAAAGUUCACGAGGAGAUGAACUAACCUUUCCAAUCUAGAGAACUCAUGAUUUUUCUUUGGAUGCAGGCACCCGAGUUGCAAAUCAUUGAACAAAUUUAUACGCUCAUACUUCUCAGGAAUACGACCCUUAAAACCGUCACCUAGGAACAUUUGCUAUCCGCACACAACAUCCCAGCAGCAGUGGCGUAUCUAGGAUAUUAGGAUCCUGGGUGCUCAAAAUUUUUUUGUUAUAAUAUUACUACAGUACACAACUAUUUCAAUACGACAGUGAAAAAAGUUGAUGAGCACAAUAUUGUAAUCAGCUACAAAGCUAUCAGCUAACAGAUUUACUACUAUUCGUAUUUUACUUUUAUGCAUUCCAUAAGGCUACUAUUCUGCCUUCCGAGGUCAAGCUUUACCUCUAUUUGCAUUUUCUGCAUUGCAUAAGGCUACUAUUCUGCCUUCUGAGGUUAAGAUAUACCUCCAUUUGCAUUUUCCCGUAUUGCAUAAGGAUACUAUUCUGCCUUCCGGGGUUAAGUUCUACCUCCAUUUGCAAUUUUCUACAUUGCAUAAGGCUACAAUUCUUCCUUUCAAGACUAAAAACUAUCUCCAUCUACAUUUUUUUGCAUUGCAUAAGGCUACCAUUCUGCCUGUAUUGCAUAAGGAUACUGUUCUGCCUUCCGGGGUUAAGUUCUACCUCCAUUUGCAAUUCUCUACAUUGCAUAAGGCUACUAUUUUGCCUUUCAAGACUAAAAACUAUCUCCAUCUACAUUUUUUUGCAUUGCAUAAGUACCAUUCUGCCUUCCGAGACUAAACACUGUCUCCAUCUGCAUUUUUUUGCAUUGCAUAAGGCUACCAUUCUGCCUUCUAAGACUAAACACUAUCUCUAUCUGCAUUUCAUAAGGCUACCAUAGUGCUUUCCGAGACUAAACAUUGUCUCCAUCUGCAUUUUUCUGAAUUACUUAAGGCUACCAUUGUGCCAUCCGAGACUAAACAUUGUCUCCAUCUACACCUGGAUGGCUGAAAGAUCGCCACUUCAUUUACCUUCUACGGCACUAAAAGAUCGCUAUUGUACUUAAAUUAUGCAUCGGCUGAAAUAUCUCCACUUCAUUUAAAUCCUGCAUCGGUUGAAAGAUCGCCAUUUUAUUUACAGUUCUUGCAUGGCUAAAAUAUCGCCACUUCAUUUACAUCCUGCCUCGGCUGGAACAUCGCCAUUUUUAUUUGUGUCUUGCAUUGGCUGAAAUAUCGCCACUUCAUUUAAAUCAUACA